This is a long non-coding RNA of Sebastes umbrosus (honeycomb rockfish), 271 nucleotides long. RefSeq lists it as uncharacterized. The record is from RefSeq and is a predicted model, not a curated record. The transcript has 3 exons. Lineage: Eukaryota; Metazoa; Chordata; Actinopteri; Perciformes; Sebastidae.
GCAUAGAUGGAUACAACGGAUUCAGUUCCCCGUGGAAAGGGCUGUCUGACGACAUGAUAAAGCGGUGUAAAUAUACUAAAUAUAGCGUACUCUUAAACUGAUAUUGAUUUUUUUUAGGUGGACCUUUCUUUUAGGUAGCUAAAAUAAGUUUUGCUGCCGGCCCCAUCCACAGCAGUACAUUGCUUUGGUUCUGUGCGGUAACUCCUGUCUGCUUCUUCGAACUGUGGGCGUGCCGACCGUAAUCUACUGUAGCAGCUUGUGCUCCAAACAU